GAUGAACGCUGGCGGCGUGCCUAAUACAUGCAAGUCGAGCGAACAGAUGAGGAGCUUGCUCCUCUGACGUUAGCGGCGGACGGGUGAGUAACACGUGGAUAACCUACCUAUAAGACUGGGAUAACUUCGGGAAACCGGAGCUAAUACCGGAUAAUAUAUUGAACCGCAUGGUUCAAUAGUGAAAGACGGUUUUGCUGUCACUUAUAGAUGGAUCCGCGCCGCAUUAGCUAGUUGGUAAGGUAACGGCUUACCAAGGCAACGAUGCGUAGCAGACCUGAGAGGGUGAUCGGCCACACUGGAACUGAGACACGGUCCAGACUCCUACGGGAGGCAGCAGUAGGGAAUCUUCCGCAAUGGGCGAAAGCCUGACGGAGCAACGCCGCGUGAGUGAUGAAGGUCUUCGGAUCGUAAAACUCUGUUAUUAGGGAAGAACAAAUGUGUAAGUAACUAUGCACGUCUUGACGGUACCUAAUCAGAAAGCCACGGCUAACUACGUG
RNAcentral lists this ribosomal RNA (497 nucleotides) under uncultured bacterium. RNAcentral's name for it is "partial 16S ribosomal RNA". It matches the Rfam family "Bacterial small subunit ribosomal RNA", at positions 28 to 507 of the family's 1533-position model. The record is from RNAcentral.